GUUUUUAUAAUUUAAUUAAAAUACUGGUCUUGUAAGCCAAUUAUAGGUUACCCCUUAAAAACA
Molecule: transfer RNA, 63 nt
Filed under: Curculionoidea sp. 12 KM-2017
Lineage: Eukaryota; Metazoa; Arthropoda; Insecta; Coleoptera
Description: tRNA-Thr
Rfam family: tRNA
About the family: Transfer RNA (tRNA) molecules are approximately 80 nucleotides in length.
Source: RNAcentral